This 1566-nucleotide ribosomal RNA is filed under the name Triticum aestivum (bread wheat). RNAcentral describes it as "partial small subunit ribosomal RNA". Lineage: Eukaryota; Viridiplantae; Streptophyta; Magnoliopsida; Poales; Poaceae. The record is from RNAcentral.
CCUCCCUCCCUCGUCUUGACGGACGGCCCUCCCGCCACCGACACCACUCCUCUCUCCCCCGGUCGGCGCGCGCGGUUGCCACUUCGCUUUCAUCCCCACUCCCAUUUUUAUCUCCUCACCAGAUCCCCGCCACCAGCUACCGCAUUCCCCAAAGAUCCAGAUCGCACCAAACGGAGGCAGUCCAGAUCGAGCUCCCGAGCUCCCGGGAAGAAGCGAGAUCCAGAUCGAGCUGAGCUGCUCUGCUUGGGCCGCCGGAGCUGAGCUGAGCUGCUCUGACCGCCGGAGCGGAAGAGCAAGAAGAUGAAGCGGAAGACGCGGAACAAGAUCGUGGUGACGGUGCUGCUGCUGGGGGCGGCGGCGGUGCUGAUCGGCGGCACGCUGGCGCUGAUCCUGACGGCGGGCACCUGGAAGGUGAAGCUCAAGGAGUCGCAGGAGAAGGUGUGCAACAAGGGGUGGGAGUGCUCCGGCACCAAGUACUGCUGCAACCAGACCAUCACCGACUUCUUCAAGGUGUACCAGUUCGAGAACCUCUUCGCCAAGCGCAACUUCCCCGUCGCCAAGGCCGUCGGCUUCUGGGACUACCAGGCCUUCAUCACCGCCGCCUCGCUCUUCGAGAACCAGGGCUUCUGCACCACCGGCGGCAUCGACAUGCAGAUGAUGGAGCUCUGCGCCUUCCUCGGACACGUCGGCGCCAAGACCUCAUGUGGAUACGGCGUGGCCACCGGCGGUCCGACGGCGUGGGGGCUGUGCUACAACCACGAGAUGAGCCCCGACCAGGGCUACUGCGACGACUCCUACACGCAGUGGCCCUGCGUCAAGGGCGCCGAGUACUACGGCCGCGGCGCCAUCCCCGUCUACUGGAACUUCAACUACGGCGCGGCGGGGGACGGGCUGAAGGUGGACCUGCUGCACCACCCGGAGCUGCUGGAGCAGAACGCGACGCUGGCGUUCGCGGCGGCCAUGUGGCGGUGGAUGACGCCCAUCAAGAAGAAGCAGCCGUCGGCGCACGAGGCCUUCACGGGGGUGUGGAAGCCCACCAAGAACGACACGCUCAGCAAGCGCCUCCCGGGCUUCGGCGCCACCAUGAACCUCCUCUACGGCGAGUCCAUCUGCGGCAGGGGCUUCAUCGACGAGAUGAACGUCAUCAUCUCCCACUACCAGUACUACCUCGACCUCAUGGGCUUCGGCCGGGAGCGGUCCGGCCUCAACCUCGACUGCGCCGAGCAGGCCCCCUUCAACCCCGCCCCCAAGAAGGACGACGAGCAGCAGCCCACCGGAGGCCAGAAGCCGUCGGGCUAGCACGCACCAUGUUGUUGUUGUAUACAUGUUCAGAUAUUCUUGCCACGCACCAUUGCCUGCUCUGCUCCCCGAGCUAUGCUGAGUUGCUGAUACAUACUUCAGUGUGUGAGCUUUGGUGCCAUUUUGGGUAGGGCUCUGUAUGUGAAUUGGGGAAGCUGUAGCCUGUGUGUGUACCACGGUGUCCAUUUUCAGUUGUUUUGUUUCAUUUUUUUGUGUCACACAAUGUCUAAAGAGGAGAAUUCGAACUGAACAUAGGCAACAUAUCCU